AUCUUGUUGCAUUUUACAUAUUGCAGAGUGAAACACAGCUUGAUGGAACUGUUCGUUGUGACUACCCAUUUUGAGCAGGCAGCAGCUAACGAGGCUAUAUAAGAGAAUUGGACAAAGGUGUUGAACGCUUUUCGGACAAUUUGACACUGUCCGCAACUGAAACAUCAAGCCACAAUGCAGAAACUCUUUUCUUGGUCACAUGGAUGGAACUGGCGCUUGAUGACAGACGAUAUGGACCAAAUAUUAUGUAGAUAACAAAGAGGAAAAGUGGAAAACUUUAUUGCUAUUAACCGGUUAGUUCCCGAAGACUCUCUCUGCCUAUUAACUUUCUCAAUAAAGCAAUGUAAAAAUUUGCCUUGAAAUAGUCUUUUAUUUUCUC
Non-coding RNA from Camelina sativa (false flax), 379 nucleotides. The record is from RefSeq and is a predicted model, not a curated record. Lineage: Eukaryota; Viridiplantae; Streptophyta; Magnoliopsida; Brassicales; Brassicaceae.